AGGCGAAACCGCGAAUGGCUCAUUAAAUCAGUUAUGGUUCCUUAGAUUGUUUCUACCUACUUGGAUAACUGUGGCAAUUCUAGAGCUAAUACAUGCAGUGAGCCCGAAGCCGUUAGGUGACGGGUGCUUUUAUUAGACCAAGAUCAAACGGGCCUCGGUCCGUGUGUGUGGUGACUCUGGAUAACUUUGGCUGAUCGCUAAGGCCACGAGCCGGCGACAAUUCUUUCAAGUGUCUGCCUUAUCAACUGUCGAUGGUAGGUUAUGCGCCUACCAUGGUCGUUACGGGUAACGGAGAAUCAGGGUUCGAUUCCGGAGAGGGAGCCUGAGAAACGGCUACCACAUCCAAGGAAGGCAGCAGGCGCGCAAAUUACCCACUCCCGGCACGGGGAGGUAGUGACGAAAAAUAACAAUACGGGACUCUUUUGAGGCCCCGUAAUUGAAAUGAGUACACUCUAAAUCCUUUAACGAGGAUCAAUUGGAGGGCAAGUCUGGUGCCAGCAGCCGCGGUAAUUCCAGCUCCAAUAGCGUAUACUAAAGUUGCUGCGGUUAAAAAGCUCGUAGUUGGAUCUCAGUUCCAGGCGGGUUGUGCAUCCACUCGAUGUUUACGACCCGCACUGAACAUCUUACCCGCUGUCUCUUGGUGCCCUUCAUUGGUGUGCCUCGAGGUGGCCGGUGCAUUUACUUUGAAAAAAUUAGAGUGCUCAACGCAGGCGAACGUCCUGAAUAACAGUGCAUGGAAUAAUAGAACAAGACCUUGUUUCUGUUCUGUUGGUUUUUGGAAAACGAGGUAAUGAUUAAGAGGGACGGACGGGGGCAUUCGUAUUGCGGCGCUAGAGGUGAAAUUCUUGGACCGUCGCAAGACGAACUACUGCGAAAGCAUUUGCCAAGAAUGUUUUCAUUGAUCAAGAACGAAAGUCAGAGGUUCGAAGGCGAUCAGAUACCGCCCUAGUUCUGACCAUAAACGAUGCCAACUAGCGAUCCGCCUGAGUUACUCAAAUGACUCGGCGGGCAGCUUCCGGGAAACCAAAGUAUUUGGGUUCCGGGGGAAGUAUGGUUGCAAAGCUGAAACUUAAAGGAAUUGACGGAAGGGCACCACCAGGAGUGGAGCCUGCGGCUUAAUUUGACUCAACACGGGAAAUCUCACCCGGCCCGGACACUGGAAGGAUUGACAGAUUGAGAGCUCUUUCUUGAUUCGGUGGAUGGUGGUGCAUGGCCGUUCUUAGUUGGUGGAGCGAUUUGUCUGGUUAAUUCCGAUAACGAACGAGACUCUAGCCUAUUAAAUAGGUGCGAGGUUCUCUGCACCUUACAACCUUCUUAGAGGGACAAGCGGCUUCUAGCCGCACGAAACAGAGCAAUAACAGGUCUGUGAUGCCCUUAGAUGUCCGGGGCCGCACGCGCGCUACACUGAAGGAAGCAGCGUGUAUUUGCCCCUGUCUGCAAAGACUGGGUAACCCGUGGAACCUCCUUCGUGAUUGGGAUAGGGGCUUGAAAUUGUUCCCCUUGAACGAGGAAUUCCCAGUAAGCGCGAGUCAUAAGCUCGCGUUGAUUACGUCCCUGCCCUUUGUACACACCG
Molecule: ribosomal RNA, 1573 nt
Filed under: Nuttalliella namaqua
Lineage: Eukaryota; Metazoa; Arthropoda; Arachnida; Ixodida; Nuttalliellidae
Description: SSU rRNA
Rfam family: Eukaryotic small subunit ribosomal RNA
Source: RNAcentral